This is a long non-coding RNA of Symphalangus syndactylus (siamang), 695 nucleotides long. RefSeq lists it as uncharacterized. The record is from RefSeq and is a predicted model, not a curated record. NCBI's taxonomy places the organism in Eukaryota, Metazoa, Chordata, Mammalia, Primates, Hylobatidae.
AUUGAAGGUUUGUCACAAUCCUGUGUCAGCAAGACUUUCCUGUCUAAGUGCCAUUCUUCCAACAGCAUGUGUUCAUUUCAUGACUCUGUCAUAUUUUGCCAUGUGAAGAAAGAUGCGUUUGCUACUACUUUCACCAUGAUUGUAAAUUUCCUGAGGACUCUCCAGCCCUGAGGAACUAGCCCUACCGUGGCCUCACUGCACCACAAUUUUCAAGAAAAGACCCUGGGAAGCUGAAUUUUAACAAAUGUCCCAAGUGAUUCUUAUCAUCAAGGAAGACUGGAAAACACUGAUCUGGAUACUGAAGAUGUUGGACUUUGAAUGGUCUGUGAUAUGGGGCUUGCACGCAGGUGACAAGCACAUCAUGACCCAUAUAAUCAUGAGUGGCAUACCUGAGCAUGAAGCUCUUCCAUCACCUGUACUGCAGUCACCCAGACCCCUCACACUCCGUUGACUAUUCCAAUCCCAUUCCUACUUCAGGGACUUUGCACUUGCUCUUGCCCAGUCAGCAAACUCUUUUCCUAACUCUUCGAGUGAUUAAAUUCUAUUCAUCUUUUGCUACAUUCUCAAGAUAGUCUUCCCAGCUCUGCUCAGUUAAACCAGGUUUCCUGUUAAAGUCUCUUUGCACUUUUUACUUUUCUUUAUAAUAAUCAUUGCUUUUGUGGUUAUCAUAAUCUUGUGAUAAUGUUUUGGUAUCU